GUGGGGACGACGUCAAGUCAUCAUGGCCCUACGAGUAGGGCUACACACGUGCUACAAUGGCGCAUACAGAGGGCGGCCAACUUGCGAGAGUGAGCGAAUCCCAAAAAGUGCGUCGUAGUCCGGAUUGGAGUCUGCAACUCGACUCCAUGAAGUCGGAAUCGCUAGUAAUCGUGGAUCAGAAUGCCACGGUGAAUACGUUCCCGGGCCUUGUACACACCGCCUGUCACACCAUGGGAGU
Molecule: ribosomal RNA, 238 nt
Filed under: Vibrio vulnificus
Lineage: Bacteria; Pseudomonadati; Pseudomonadota; Gammaproteobacteria; Vibrionales; Vibrionaceae
Description: partial 16S ribosomal RNA
Rfam family: Bacterial small subunit ribosomal RNA
Source: RNAcentral